This 307-nucleotide ribosomal RNA is filed under the name uncultured bacterium. RNAcentral's name for it is "bacterial SSU rRNA". It matches the Rfam family "Bacterial small subunit ribosomal RNA", at positions 28 to 334 of the family's 1533-position model. The record is from RNAcentral.
GACGAACGCUGGCGGCGUGCUUCAUACAUGCAAGUCGAACGAGAAGUUACCUUCGGGUGAUGGAAAGUGGCGGACGGGUGAGUAAAAUGUAGAGAAUCUGCCUUUGAGUGGGGGACAACAGUUGGAAACGACUGCUAAUACCGCAUAAGCCCACGGUGCCGCAUGGCACAGCGGGAAAAGGAUUUAUUCGCUUCAGGAUGGACUCGCGUCCAAUUAGCUAGUUGGUGAGGUAACGGCCCACCAAGGCGACGAUUGGUAGCCGGACUGAGAGGUUGAACGGCCACAUUGGGACUGAGACACGGCCCAG